Molecule: ribosomal RNA, 483 nt
Filed under: uncultured bacterium
Lineage: Bacteria
Description: partial 16S ribosomal RNA
Rfam family: Bacterial small subunit ribosomal RNA
Source: RNAcentral
AUUGAACGCUGGCGGCAGGCCUAACACAUGCAAGUCGAGCGGAUGAAGGGAGCUUGCUCCUGGAUUCAGCGGCGGACGGGUGAGUAAUGCCUAGGAAUCUGCCUGGUAGUGGGGGAUAACGUCCGGAAACGGGCGCUAAUACCGCAUACGUCCUGAGGGAGAAAGUGGGGGAUCUUCGGACCUCACGCUAUCAGAUGAGCCUAGGUCGGAUUAGCUAGUUGGUGGGGUAAAGGCCUACCGAGGCGACGAUCCGUAACUGGUCUGAGAGGAUGAUCAGUCACACUGGAACUGAGACACGGUCCAGACUCCUACGGGAGGCAGCAGUGGGGAAUAUUGGACAAUGGGCGAAAGCCUGAUCCAGCCAUGCCGCGUGUGUGAAGAAGGUCUUCGGAUUGUAAAGCACUUUAAGUUGGGAGGAAGGGCAGUAAGUUAAUACCUUGCUGUUUUGACGUUACCAACAGAAGAAGCACCGGCUAACUUCGU